CCCGCCAAUUCCUUUAAGUUUGCAUACGGCUCAGUAACACGUAGUCAACAUGCCCAGGGGACGUGGAUAACCUCGGGAAACUGAGGAUAAACCGCGAUAGGUCAUCACUUCUGGAAUGGGUAAUGACUUAAAUCUAUAUGGCCCCUGGAUUGGACUGCGGCCGAUCAGGCUGUUGGUGAGGUAAUGGCCCACCAAACCUGUAACCGGUACGGGCUCUGAGAGGAGGAGCCCGGAGAUGGGCACUGAGACAAGGGCCCAGGCCCUAUGGGGCGCAGCAGGCGCGAAACCUCUGCAAUAGGCGAAAGCUUGACAGGGUUACUCUGAGUGAUUUCCGUUAAGGAGAUCUUUUGGCACCUCUAAAAAUGGUGCAGAAUAAGGGGUGGGCAAGUCUGGUGUCAGCCGCCGCGGUAAUACCAGCACCCCGAGUGGUCGGGACGUUUAUUGGGCCUAAAGCAUCCGUAGCCGGUUCUACAAGUCUUCCGUUAAAUCCACCUGCUUAACAGAUGGGCUGCGGAAGAUACUAUAGAGCUAGGAGGCGGGAGAGGCAAGCGGUACUCGAUGGGUAGGGGUAAAAUCCGUUGAUCCAUUGAAGACCACCAGUGGCGAAGGCGGCUUGCCAGAACGCGCUCGACGGUGAGGGAUGAAAGCUGGGGGAGCAAACCGGAUUAGAUACCCGGGUAGUCCCAGCUGUAAACGAUGCAGACUCGGUGAUGAGUUGGCUUAUUGCUAACUCAGUGCCGCAGGGAAGCCGUUAAGUUUGCCGCCUGGGGAGUACGGUCGCAAGACUGAAACUUAAAGGAAAUUGGCGGG
Molecule: ribosomal RNA, 810 nt
Filed under: uncultured archaeon
Lineage: Archaea
Description: bacterial SSU rRNA
Rfam family: Archaeal small subunit ribosomal RNA
Source: RNAcentral